GGACAGAUGGCCGAGUGGUUAUGGCGUGUGACUCAAGCUCAAUAGCUUGGUUGAUGGAAAAUCAACUAGCAUUCUCAUGGGCUUAGCCCGCGGGGGUUCGAAUCCCCCUCUGUUCA
Sclerotinia nivalis is the source of this 116-nucleotide non-coding RNA. NCBI's taxonomy places the organism in Eukaryota, Fungi, Ascomycota, Leotiomycetes, Helotiales, Sclerotiniaceae. The record is from the annotation of a GenBank genome assembly.